This 494-nucleotide ribosomal RNA is filed under the name uncultured bacterium. RNAcentral's name for it is "partial 16S ribosomal RNA". It matches the Rfam family "Bacterial small subunit ribosomal RNA", at positions 28 to 507 of the family's 1533-position model. The record is from RNAcentral.
GACGAACGCUGGCGGCGUGCUUAACACAUGCAAGUCGAACGGUGAAGCGCCUUCCUUUUUGGUGGGUGUGGAUGAGUGGCGAACGGGUGAGUAACACGUGAGUAACCUGCCCCCUUCUUCUGGAUAACCGCAUGAAAGUGUGGCUAAUACGGGAUAUUCUGGGUCUGUCGCAUGAUGGGUCUGGGAAAGAUAUUGUUUCGGUGGGGGAUGGGCUCGCGGCCUAUCAGCUUGUUGGUGGGGUGAUGGCCUACCAAGGCGGUGACGGGUAGCCGGCCUGAGAGGGUGGACGGUCACACUGGGACUGAGACACGGCCCAGACUACUACGGGAGGCAGCAGUGGGGAAUAUUGCACAAUGGGCGAAAGCCUGAUGCAGCGACGCCGCGUGAGGGAUGGAGGCCUGCGGGUUGUGAACCUCUUUCGCCAGUGAAGCAGGCCUGCCUCGUUUGUGGGUGGGUUGACGGUAGCUGGAGAAGAAGCGCCGGCUAACUACGUG